CUUAGCAACCGAUUUGGUCCUAGUCCUUUUCUUGGCUCUCUCUAAAACGAUACAUGCAAGCCCCUCAGCAAAACAGUGAGUAAUAACUUAAUUGUCCUAAAAAGAGACAACCCAAUAACCCCAGGUAUCAGAUAAUACAACUUAAUUCUAAAACACCUAGUUAUUCCACACCUGCAGUACCUAACAUUAUACAAUAAGUUAAAGCUUGAUAUAGUUAUAUAUUUAAGAGUUGGUUAAUUAUGUGCCAGCCACCGCGGUUAUACAUAAAACUCAAACCAAGAAACAUCGGUUUAAAAGUGACUUAGGGUAACCUAAACUUUAAGGGAGAAAAUAACUCUAGUAUUAACAAACUUUCACAGUAAACUAAUAACAAUUAUAAAUAUUUCCUUAAAACUUUCCCACACCCAAAACACUAAAGCUCAAAAAUAAACUGGGAUUAGAUACCCCACUAUAUGAGCCGUAAAAAACCAAAAAUACCAGAGA
This 483-nucleotide ribosomal RNA is filed under the name Astropecten sp. 4 DEZ-2008. RNAcentral describes it as "partial 12S ribosomal RNA". Lineage: Eukaryota; Metazoa; Echinodermata; Asteroidea; Paxillosida; Astropectinidae. The record is from RNAcentral.